AUGGACAAAUCUAGUGGCAAACUCUUUCUUUCCAUCAAUGACAUUACGGUGCUGGUUCGUGAUUCUAUUCAUGAAACGAUUGUGCCUCUUUCCAUGCCUGAGGUUUGGCUCCGCCUCCACGGCAUUCCUAAGAAGCACCGUCGUGUCGAUCGUCUGAUGGAGGGUCUCAAGAUGCUAGGCAGGCCAAUCAUGCUGGACGAGCUUUCCCUCAUCCGGUUAGGGCCAGUGAGGAUGAAAUUUGGCUGCAAAGCCCCUGAAAAGUUGAACGGUUUCGUGCAAGUUUGGUUUAACCAUGAGGGUUAUGACAUCAAGGUUGAGGUGGAGCGGCUGCCGAAUCGCACAGGGGUCGGGCCAACUGCGCCUGGGCCCAGCGACGCUCCUUCCUGCCCCGCUGACAAGAGUGGUGGCCCGCCUGGUUCGGGGACCGGGGGGCUGCUGGACAGCAGUUGGUUGAGCCCGGUGCCCAGGAGUGUAGGGCAGUAUCAAUGGUGGCCAAGGUAA
Molecule: ribosomal RNA, 501 nt
Filed under: Triticum aestivum (bread wheat)
Lineage: Eukaryota; Viridiplantae; Streptophyta; Magnoliopsida; Poales; Poaceae
Description: partial small subunit ribosomal RNA
Source: RNAcentral